Molecule: long non-coding RNA, 2161 nt
Organism: Poecilia latipinna (sailfin molly)
Lineage: Eukaryota; Metazoa; Chordata; Actinopteri; Cyprinodontiformes; Poeciliidae
Exons: 2
Source: RefSeq, a predicted model, not a curated record
AGUGUGUUUCAGGUGAUAUGCAGGGUUAGUUUUCCACUACAUCGUUUUAGCUUAAAAUGCUAAUUUUGGACUCAUCUAAACUAAGCACUCUCUUCCACAUGUUUGCCGUCUCCCCUUACGUGGUUUGUGGUUAUUCAGCAGACAUCUUUGAUUUUUUUCAACAGCAGCUUCUUUCUUGCUAUUCUUCUAUGAGGUUCAAAUUUGUGAAAUGCCAACUAAAAGUUAUCCUGUGUUUCAGCCUCACCUGUGCCCACACAGACAGACAUACACACAUUUCCCACCUUUCUUUACUAAACCCCCUCCGUGCUCCUACUCCUCUACAUGUCAGUCAUUCUUUGGUCCCUGGUGCAUAGAAGACCUCAGACUUGUCAGACCUCCAGCAGUCCCUCAAAGAAAUACCCCUCCUGCUGUAACACCCGCCAUUCCUCUUAACCCCACCAAACAAAAAUAAAGUCACAGUGAAGACAGGGCAGCCAGGACUUUACAGAUAGGGCUCCUGCUUGGUAGAUCAGUCAAUGGAUACCUGAUUGUCACUUGUGAGGUUGGUCCCUUAAUCCUAUUGUUUCUCUGACAGGAUUACUCUUUGUGGUCCCUCUCUCCCUGUGGCUGCACGCAGGAGAAAGGGCAGAUUAAGGGGAUUAGCAUGUAUCCUCCUGAUUUGCCCUGAUAGGAUGUGAGGAACCAUUGACUUUCUUGGAGGACCAUGAAUGCAGAGAGGCAAAAGGUUCAAAGGGGCCAGCCAAGCUCUGUGGAUAAUAAGCAUCCAAAGGUGAUGGACAGGCAGGUGAAAGGCGCCUAUUCAUCAGAAUCACUGCAGCUUUCUUAGGAGCAACUAAAACUACUGAACAGAAUAUCAUUGUGCAGGCAUUUAGUUUUAUGCAUUUUCUUAAUAUGUCAGAUAUCACAGGUUGGUGGAACAGCCAAAAGAUGCAUAGUACCCAUGCAAGAAAUGACUCAAGUAAAAGGACAGAGGUAUUUGGUAAAACGCCUAUUCGAGUAAUGAGUUCACUGUAAACACAACAUUUGAUUCAAUAUUUUCAGACAGACCCAAACCUAAAAUUGUGUGCAAAUCCUGGUAUUUUGGGAACUGAAAAAGAAGUGGGAAUUAACAACACAUUUACAAAACAACAAAUUCAAUCAAGAGAAACACUUUCCAAAAUUUCUUUUUGUUAUAAAACCUACAAAAUUAAUUUAUAAUCUUUACUGUUAGCAAUAUAUAGAUAAAUAUACAUAAUAACAUUGUAAAAUACUUCUAGUAAUGAUAUCUACUAUAUUAAUGUUUACUGUAUUUUCAAAUGACUUCCAAGCGGCACAACAGGCUCAGCUGAUAGAAAAUAACAAUAGAAUAACAAAGAACAAACUAGACAAAACUGUAGCAGGUCUGUCAUUUAUGGUAAAAUUUGUUUGUUCUUUAUUUGAUGAAGUUACUCACAGUGGGCAGAGUAUCCAGAAAUUUUACUCAAGAAAAAGCAGUGAUACUUCAUAACUCGAGUACAAGUAAAAAGUAAAGUGUAGUAAAGCUACUCCUAAAAGUUAAUCUUUUUCCAAAAAGUUACUGGAGUAAAUGCAAAUAAGUAAAGAUAACUAAUAAAUGUGAAAAUACAUAAGAGGGUUUUAACAGUUUCUUGCACACUCCAAAAGUCGCCUGAAUCACUGUCACCAUGACAAGGUGAACACCCAGGUACUUCUACUCCUCCGCAAUCUGAAUGUUCAAGUCCUGGACGUUCGCUGGUGAUGUCUGUACAGACUUGAUGCUAAAGUCAAUCACCAUCUCCUCUGUCUUAGUGGUGUUGAUGUGAAGGUUGUUGGGCUCACACCAGGUAACAAAGUUGUCAAUGAUCUCCUUGUACUUCAGGUCAUUCCAAUCCGAUCGAUAGCCUACGAUCGAUGGCUGUAUCAUCUGAGAACUUCUGAACAUAGCAGUAGUCCGAGUUAUGUUUAAAAUAUGAGGUGUAGAGAAAGAAAAGGAAAGGGGAGAGAACUGUUGCCUGACUGCAUACUACCGGAUCGGACAUACAGUCAGGAAUCCUCACAUGCUGUGCUCUGCUGGUGAGGUAAUCAACGGUCCAGGCAGUGAGCUGACAGUCCACAUCAGCUGUGUUGUGUUCAACACAGUUGUGUUCAACUGUUUUGUUUAUAAUCAAGUAAAAUAUGACAAAAA